RNAcentral lists this ribosomal RNA (253 nucleotides) under uncultured bacterium. Its description in RNAcentral is "partial 16S ribosomal RNA". It matches the Rfam family "Bacterial small subunit ribosomal RNA", at positions 524 to 776 of the family's 1533-position model. The record is from RNAcentral.
UACGAAGGGGGCUAGCGUUGUUCGGAAUUACUGGGCGUAAAGCGCGUGUAGGCGGGUCUUUAAGUCAGGGGUGAAAUGCCAAGGCUCAACCUUGGAACUGCCUUUGAUACUGGAGACCUUGAGUCCGGGAGAGGUGAGUGGAAUUCCACGUGUAGCAGUGAAAUGCGUAGAGAUGUGGAGGAACACCGAUGGCGAAGGCAGCCCCCUGGGUCAACACUGACGCUCAUGCACGAAAGCGUGGGGAGCAAACAGG